Molecule: ribosomal RNA, 980 nt
Filed under: human gut metagenome
Description: bacterial LSU rRNA
Rfam family: Bacterial large subunit ribosomal RNA
Source: RNAcentral
ACGGUCCUAAGGUAGCGAAAUUCCUUGUCGGGUAAGUUCCGACCCGCACGAAAGGUGUAACGACUUGCGCACUGUCUCAACGAGGGACCCGGUGAAAUUGAAGUACCUGUGAAGAUGCAGGUUACCCGCGACUGGACAGAAAGACCCCAUGGAGCUUUACUGUAACCUGACAUUGUGUUUUGAUACAUCACGUACAGGAUAGGUGGGAGGCUUGGAAGGCAGGACGCCAGUUUUGCCGGAGCCGUUGUUGGGAUACCACCCUUGAUGUAUCGAAAUUCUAACCGUAGGAGUAACGAAACUCGGGACAGUGUCAGGCGGGCAGUUUGACUGGGGCGGUCGCCUCCCAAAGAGUAACGGAGGCGCCCAAAGGUUCCCUCAGCGCGGCCGGAAAUCGCGCGAAGAGUGUAAAGGCAGAAGGGAGCUUGACUGAGAGCCAAACACGGCGAUCAGGUACGAAAGUAGGGCUUAGUGAUCCGGUGGCAUCCGAGUGGAAGGGCCAUCGCUCAACGGAUAAAAGCUACCCUGGGGAUAACAGGCUAAUCUCUCCCAAGAGUCCAUAUCGACGGGGAGGUUUGGCACCUCGAUGUCGGCUCAUCACAUCCUGGGGCUGAAGUCGGUCCCAAGGGUUGGGCUGUUCGCCCAUUAAAGUGGUACGUGAGCUGGGUUCAGAACGUCGUGAGACAGUUCGGUCCCUAUCCAUCGCGGGCGCAAGAAACUUGAAGGGGGCUGCUCCUAGUACGAGAGGACCGGAGUGGACGAACCGCUGGUGUACCAAUUAUCCUGCCAAGGGUACAGUUGGGUAGCUACGUUCGGGACGGAUAAACGCUGAAAGCAUCUAAGCGUGAAACCAGCCUUGAGAUGAGGUUUCUCAUAGCAUAAGCUAGUAAGAUCCCAUGUAGACGACAUGGUUGAUAGGCCAGGUGUGGAAGAGCCGUGAGGUUUGGAGCUGACUGGUACUAAUAGAUCGAGGGCUUUACUUA